Molecule: ribosomal RNA, 1242 nt
Filed under: Cellulosimicrobium funkei
Lineage: Bacteria; Bacillati; Actinomycetota; Actinomycetes; Micrococcales; Promicromonosporaceae
Description: bacterial SSU rRNA
Rfam family: Bacterial small subunit ribosomal RNA
Source: RNAcentral
AUAUGAGCCGUCCUCGCAUGGGGGUGGUUGGAAAGUUUUUCGGUCAGGGAUGGGCUCGCGGCCUAUCAGCUUGUUGGUGGGGUGAUGGCCUACCAAGGCGACGACGGGUAGCCGGCCUGAGAGGGCGACCGGCCACACUGGGACUGAGACACGGCCCAGACUCCUACGGGAGGCAGCAGUGGGGAAUAUUGCACAAUGGGCGAAAGCCUGAUGCAGCGACGCCGCGUGAGGGAUGAAGGCCUUCGGGUUGUAAACCUCUUUCAGCAGGGAAGAAGCGCAAGUGACGGUACCUGCAGAAGAAGCGCCGGCUAACUACGUGCCAGCAGCCGCGGUAAUACGUAGGGCGCAAGCGUUGUCCGGAAUUAUUGGGCGUAAAGAGCUCGUAGGCGGUUUGUCGCGUCUGGUGUGAAAACUCGAGGCUCAACCUCGAGCUUGCAUCGGGUACGGGCAGACUAGAGUGCGGUAGGGGAGACUGGAAUUCCUGGUGUAGCGGUGGAAUGCGCAGAUAUCAGGAGGAACACCGAUGGCGAAGGCAGGUCUCUGGGCCGCAACUGACGCUGAGGAGCGAAAGCAUGGGGAGCGAACAGGAUUAGAUACCCUGGUAGUCCAUGCCGUAAACGUUGGGCACUAGGUGUGGGGCUCAUUCCACGAGUUCCGUGCCGCAGCAAACGCAUUAAGUGCCCCGCCUGGGGAGUACGGCCGCAAGGCUAAAACUCAAAGGAAUUGACGGGGGCCCGCACAAGCGGCGGAGCAUGCGGAUUAAUUCGAUGCAACGCGAAGAACCUUACCAAGGCUUGACAUGCACGAGAAGCCACCAAAGAUGGUGGUCUCUUUGGACACUCGUGCACAGGUGGUGCAUGGUUGUCGUCAGCUCGUGUCGUGAGAUGUUGGGUUAAGUCCCGCAACGAGCGCAACCCUCGUCCCAUGUUGCCAGCGGGUUAUGCCGGGGACUCAUGGGAGACUGCCGGGGUCAACUCGGAGGAAGGUGGGGAUGACGUCAAAUCAUCAUGCCCCUUAUGUCUUGGGCUUCACGCAUGCUACAAUGGCCGGUACAAAGGGCUGCGAUACCGUAAGGUGGAGCGAAUCCCAAAAAGCCGGUCUCAGUUCGGAUUGGGGUCUGCAACUCGACCCCAUGAAGUCGGAGUCGCUAGUAAUCGCAGAUCAGCAACGCUGCGGUGAAUACGUUCCCGGGCCUUGUACACACCGCCCGUCAAGUCACGAAAGUCGGUAACACCUAGAAGC